UACAGAGGUCUCAAGCGUUGUUCGGAUUCAUUGGGCGUAAAGGGUGCGUAGGUGGCGCCGUAAGUCAGGUGUGAAAUUUCGGAGCUUAACUCCGAAACUGCAUUUGAUACUGCGGUGCUUGAGGACUGGAGAGGAGACUGGAAUUCUCGGUGUAGAGGUGAAAUUCGUAGAUAUCGAGAGGAACACCGGUGGCGAAGGCGGCCAACUGGACGAAUACUGACGCUGAGACACGAAAGCGUGGGGAGCAAACAGG
Molecule: ribosomal RNA, 253 nt
Filed under: uncultured bacterium
Lineage: Bacteria
Description: partial 16S ribosomal RNA
Rfam family: Bacterial small subunit ribosomal RNA
Source: RNAcentral